AUGUUUUCAGCAGGUGUAGUGUUCAUUUAUGUAACGCUAAAGCUGCUGUUGUGUUUUUCUACAGAUCUGCUGAAUAAAAACACAAAAGCAGCCGUAGCUUUACAUAAAUGAACACCAACACUGCUGAAAACAU
Molecule: non-coding RNA, 133 nt
Organism: Xyrichtys novacula (pearly razorfish)
Lineage: Eukaryota; Metazoa; Chordata; Actinopteri; Labriformes; Labridae
Source: the annotation of a GenBank genome assembly